Molecule: ribosomal RNA, 497 nt
Filed under: uncultured bacterium
Lineage: Bacteria
Description: partial 16S ribosomal RNA
Rfam family: Bacterial small subunit ribosomal RNA
Source: RNAcentral
GACGAACGCUGGCGGCGUGCCUAAUACAUGCAAGUAGAACGCUGAAGAGAGGAGCUUGCUCUUCUUGGAUGAGUUGCGAACGGGUGAGUAACGCGUAGGUAACCUGCCUUGUAGCGGGGGAUAACUAUUGGAAACGAUAGCUAAUACCGCAUAACAAUGGAUGACACAUGUCAUUUAUUUGAAAGGGGCAAUUGCUCCACUACAAGAUGGACCUGCGUUGUAUUAGCUAGUAGGUGAGGUAAUGGCUCACCUAGGCGACGAUACAUAGCCGACCUGAGAGGGUAAUCGGCCACACUGGGAAUGAGACACGGCCCAUACUCCUACGGGAGGCAGCAGUAGGGAAUCUUCGGCAAUGGGGGCAACCCUGACCGAGCAACGCCGCGUGAGUGAAGAAGGUUUUCGGAUCGUAAAGCUCUGUUGUAAGUCAAGAACGGGUGUGAGAGUGGAAAGUUCACACUGUGACGGUAGCUUACCAGAAAGGGACGGCUAACUACGUG